GACGAACGCUGGCGGCGUGCUUAACACAUGCAAGUCGAACGGAAAGGCCUCUUUCGGGGGGUACUCGAGUGGCGAACGGGUGAGUAACACGUGAGUAACCUGCCCUUGACUUUGGGAUAACUUCAGUAAACUGGGGCUAAUACCGGACAGGAGCUCCUGCUGCAUGGUGGGGGUUGGAAAGUUUCGGCGGCUGGGGAUGGACUCGCGGCGUAUCAGCUUGUUGGUGGGGUAUUGGCUUACCAAGGGCUUGACGGGUAGCCGGCCUGAGAGGGUGACCGGCCACAUUGGGACUGAGAUACGGCCCAGACUCCUACGGGAGGCAGCAGUGGGGAAUAUUGCACAAUGGGUGGAAGCCUGAUGCAGCAACGCCGUGUGCGGGAUGACGGCCUUCGGGUUGUAAACCGCAUUCGCUCAUGACGAAGCUUUGUGUGACGGUAGUGGGUAAAGAAGCACCGGCUAACUACGUG
RNAcentral lists this ribosomal RNA (467 nucleotides) under uncultured bacterium. RNAcentral describes it as "partial 16S ribosomal RNA". It matches the Rfam family "Bacterial small subunit ribosomal RNA", at positions 28 to 507 of the family's 1533-position model. The record is from RNAcentral.